UACGUAGGGGGCGAGCGUUGUCCGGAUUUAUUGGGCGUAAAGAGCUCGUAGGCGGUUCGGUAAGUCGGACGUGAAAUCUCCACGCUCAACGUGGAGGGGCCGUUCGAUACUGUCGUGACUCGAGUCCGGUAGGGGAGUGUGGAAUUCCCGGUGUAGCGGUGAAAUGCGCAGAUAUCGGGAAGAACACCCGUGGCGAAGGCGGUUCUCUGGGACGGUACUGACGCUGAGACGCGAAAGCGUGGGGAGCGAACAGG
RNAcentral lists this ribosomal RNA (254 nucleotides) under uncultured bacterium. RNAcentral describes it as "partial 16S ribosomal RNA". It matches the Rfam family "Bacterial small subunit ribosomal RNA", at positions 524 to 776 of the family's 1533-position model. The record is from RNAcentral.